UGGGGAUUACUGGACAAUGGGCGAAAGCCUGAUCCAGCCAUGCCGCGUGUGUGAAGAAGGUCUUCGGAUUGUAAAGCACUUUAAGUUGGGAGGAAGGGCAGUAAGCGAAUACCUUGCUGUUUUGACGUUACCGACAGAAUAAGCACCGGCUAACUCUGUGCCAGCAGCCGCGGUAAUACAGAGGGUGCAAGCGUUAAUCGGAAUUACUGGGCGUAAAGCGCGCGGAGGUGGUUCGUUAAGUUGAAUGUGAAAGCCCCGGGCUCAACCUUGGAACUGCAUCCAAAACUGGCGAGCUAGAGUAGGGCAGAGGGUGGUGGAAUUUCCUGUGUAGCGGUUAAAUGCGUAGAUAUCGGAAGGAACCCCAGUGGCGAAGGCGACCACCUGGGCUCAUACUGACACUGAGGUGCGAAAGCGUGGGGAGCAAACAGG
RNAcentral lists this ribosomal RNA (429 nucleotides) under Pseudomonadota bacterium. RNAcentral's name for it is "Proteobacteria bacterium partial 16S ribosomal RNA". It matches the Rfam family "Bacterial small subunit ribosomal RNA", at positions 355 to 776 of the family's 1533-position model. The record is from RNAcentral. Lineage: Bacteria; Pseudomonadati; Pseudomonadota.